GAGGUUUAGCUCAGUUGGGAGAGCAUCUGCCUUACAAGCAGGGGGUCGUAGGUUCGAGCCCUACAAUCUCC
RNAcentral lists this transfer RNA (71 nucleotides) under human gut metagenome. It matches the Rfam family "tRNA". Rfam says of the family: Transfer RNA (tRNA) molecules are approximately 80 nucleotides in length. Their secondary structure includes four short double-helical elements and three loops (D, anti-codon, and T loops). The record is from RNAcentral.